GUAAGACUGGGAUAACUCCGGGAAACCGGAGCUAAUACCGGAUAGUUCCUUGAACCGCAUGGUUCAAGGAUGAAAGACGGUUUCGGCUGUCACUUACAGAUGGACCCGCGGCGCAUUAGCUAGUUGGUGAGGUAACGGCUCACCAAGGCGACGAUGCGUAGCCGACCUGAGAGGGUGAUCGGCCACACUGGGACUGAGACACGGCCCAGACUCCUACGGGAGGCAGCAGUAGGGAAUCUUCCGCAAUGGACGAAAGUCUGACGGAGCAACGCCGCGUGAGUGAUGAAGGUUUUCGGAUCGUAAAGCUCUGUUGUUAGGGAAGAACAAGUGCAAGAGUAACUGCUUGCACCUUGACGGUACCUAACCAGAAAGCCACGGCUAACUACGUGCCAGCAGCCGCGGUAAUACGUAGGUGGCAAGCGUUGUCCGGAAUUAUUGGGCGUAAAGGGCUCGCAGGCGGUUUCUUAAGUCUGAUGUGAAAGCCCCCGGCUCAACCGGGGAGGGUCAUUGGAAACUGGGAAACUUGAGUGCAGAAGAGGAGAGUGGAAUUCCACGUGUAGCGGUGAAAUGCGUAGAGAUGUGGAGGAACACCAGUGGCGAAGGCGACUCUCUGGUCUGUAACUGACGCUGAGGAGCGAAAGCGUGGGGAGCGAACAGGAUUAGAUACCCUGGUAGUCCACGCCGUAAACGAUGAGUGCUAAGUGUUAGGGGGUUUCCGCCCCUUAGUGCUGCAGCUAACGCAUUAAGCACUCCGCCUGGGGAGUACGGUCGCAAGACUGAAACUCAAAGGAAUUGACGGGGGCCCGCACAAGCGGUGGAGCAUGUGGUUUAAUUCGAAGCAACGCGAAGAACCUUACCAGGUCUUGACAUCCUCUGACAACCCUAGAGAUAGGGCUUUCCCUUCGGGGACAGAGUGACAGGUGGUGCAUGGUUGUCGUCAGCUCGUGUCGUGAGAUGUUGGGUUAAGUCCCGCAACGAGCGCAACCCUUGAUCUUAGUUGCCAGCAUUCAGUUGGGCACUCUAAGGUGACUGCCGGUGACAAACCGGAGGAAGGUGGGGAUGACGUCAAAUCAUCAUGCCCCUUAUGACCUGGGCUACACACGUGCUACAAUGGACAGAACAAAGGGCUGCGAGACCGCAAGGUUUAGCCAAUCCCACAAAUCUGUUCUCAGUUCGGAUCGCAGUCUGCAACUCGACUGCGUGAAGCUGGAAUCGCUAGUAAUCGCGGAUCAGCA
This 1235-nucleotide ribosomal RNA is filed under the name Bacillus sp. FXY34. RNAcentral describes it as "bacterial SSU rRNA". It matches the Rfam family "Bacterial small subunit ribosomal RNA", at positions 132 to 1354 of the family's 1533-position model. Lineage: Bacteria; Bacillati; Bacillota; Bacilli; Caryophanales; Bacillaceae. The record is from RNAcentral.